Molecule: ribosomal RNA, 439 nt
Filed under: uncultured bacterium
Lineage: Bacteria
Description: partial 16S ribosomal RNA
Rfam family: Bacterial small subunit ribosomal RNA
Source: RNAcentral
CUACGGGCCGCAGCAGUGAGGAAUAUUGCACAAUGGGGGGAACCCUGAUGCAGCAACGCCGCGUGGAGGAUGACGCAUUUCGGUGUGUAAACUCCUUUUAUAUGUCAAGAAAAUGACGGUAGCAUAUGAAUAAGCACCGGCUAACUCCGUGCCAGCAGCCGCGGUAAUACGGAGGGUGCAAGCGUUACUCGGAAUCACUGGGCGUAAGGGACGCGUAGGCGGGUUGGAAAGUCAGGUGUGAAAUCCUACAGCUUAACUGUAGAACUGCACUUGAAACUUCUAAUCUAGAGUAUGGGAGGGGGAGAUGGAAUUAGUGGUGUAGGGGUAAAAUCCGUAGAUAUCACUAGGAAUACCUAAAGCGAAGGCGAUCUCCUGGAACAUUACCGACGCUAAGGCGUGAAAGCGUGGGGAGCAAACAGGAUUAGAUACCCGGGUAGUC